AGCCAGACUCCUACGGGAGGCAGCAGUGGGGAAUAUUGCACAAUGGGGGAAACCCUGAUGCAGCGACGCCGCGUGAGUGAAGAAGUAUUUCGGUAUGUAAAGCUCUAUCAGCAGGGAAGAAAAUGACGGUACCUGAUUAAGAAGCCCCGGCUAACUACGUGCCAGCAGCCGCGGUAAUACGUAGGGGGCAAGCGUUAUCCGGAUUUACUGGGUGUAAAGGGAGCGUAGACGGUGAUGCAAGUCAGAAGUGAAAGCCCGGGGCUCAACUCCGGGACUGCUUUUGAAACUGUGUAACUGGAGUGCAGGAGAGGUAAGCGGAAUUCCUGGUGUAGCGGUGAAAUGCGUAGAUAUCAGGAGGAACACCAGUGGCGAAGGCGGCUUACUGGACUGUAACUGACGUUGAGGCUCGAAAGCGUGGGGAGCAAACAGGAUUAGAUACCCCGGUAA
Molecule: ribosomal RNA, 447 nt
Filed under: uncultured bacterium
Lineage: Bacteria
Description: bacterial SSU rRNA
Rfam family: Bacterial small subunit ribosomal RNA
Source: RNAcentral